RNAcentral lists this unclassified non-coding RNA (3032 nucleotides) under Helicoverpa zea (corn earworm). RNAcentral's name for it is "aDP-ribosylation factor-like protein 4C, transcript variant X2". Lineage: Eukaryota; Metazoa; Arthropoda; Insecta; Lepidoptera; Noctuidae. The record is from RNAcentral.
GCUGUGCGGCGAACGCACCCGAACGCGAUCUUUAUUCAACGCGAGCGCGCCGUCAGUCCGGAGGUGACCGCGGGCGGGGCGGCACGUGCUGUGCACGCCUCGCGACAUUACAUUGUGUUUAUGUACGCCAUUGUUUUAAUUCAAUCCGUCUACAAUCAAUACGACAUCGGAGUGAAAACUCGGCCUAUUUGCUGCAUUCACUAGAAUCUAGUGCGAUAACAGUGACAGUAAAAUUUUGUCUGUAAGAAGAUUAGAUGCAAGACAGUAUUGACAAGUGAAACUCUAUCGUACAAUUUUGUCAGAAGGAGGUUUUUGUUUGUGACAUUGUUAUUUGACUUAAAAGGUGUUAGUGAUCUGUUGUAUAGGAAAGCAUGCAAAUCAAUAAUCCAGUGAAUGCCCAGCUCUGAAUACCCGAGAGCUCUUACGGUGCGGUGUAUUAUACGGUUGCAUAUUGAUUGGUUCUGUACCGGGAUCACUGGAACUUGUCAUUCAAUUAACGAUCAAACUAGUUGGAGUUCAUUGGUACUAAGAGUGUUGAAGACUGAAGACUUGGCUUAAGAGGACAUCUAAUUUUAACUUAUUUAGAAACAGUGACAAGAACAUCUCGUGAUGGUGCGCUCGGACGACAGUGUGAGGUAGCCGCCGCGCGGUAUACGAAGCAUGGGUGCCAACAUGGGCAAGAACUCGAGCCUGCUCGAUGCGCUGCCCACUGCGCAGGGCACACUGCACGUCGUCAUGCUGGGACUCGACUCCGCCGGCAAGACCACCGCGCUCUACCGGCUCAAGUUCGACCAGUACCUCAACACUGUCCCCACCAUCGGGUUCAACUGCGAAAAAGUCAAAGGCACACUAGGAAAGUCCAAAGGUGUCAACUUCCUAGUAUGGGAUGUCGGUGGGCAAGAAAAGCUACGACCUUUAUGGAAGUCCUACACUAGAUGCACGGACGGCAUCAUUUUUGUGCUAGAUUCAGUAGAUAUAGAACGAAUGGAAGAAGCCAAAAUGGAGUUAAUACGGACGGCAAAGUCUCCGGACAACACGGGCGUGCCGAUCCUCGUGCUUGCGAACAAGCAGGACCUGCCUGGCGCCAAGGAGCCACGCGAGCUGGAGAAGCUGCUGGGGCUGCACGAGCUGGUGUCGUCGCCGCACGGGUCGCGCGACGCGCACGCCUGGCACGUGCAGCCCGCCUGCGCCAUCACCGGCGAGGGCUUGCACGAGGGGCUCGAGGCGCUCUACGAGAUGAUACUCAAAAGAAGAAAAUUAGCCAAGUUGCAGAAAAAACGAGUCAGAUAAACUAUAUUCUGCCGCGUUAGUGUUUGUGACAAGUCAGCCGUGUGCUGCUAACGGUACGGUUCGUGAACGUUAAGUAUUUUAAAAUGCUCACUGUAUGGAUGAUUUUUAUAACGUCCGAGAUAGAAACACCAAAUAUUGUUUUACUAUAGAUGUAUAACGUCUUAUGAAAUAUUCCAUCAUCAUGUUGCUCAAGUUAUAUUGAACAUUUUGAAGGAAACGAAUAUUAUAAAUUAAAUUAACUACUAGUCAUUUUCUUUUGAAAAUAGCUAGGUGGGAGAUAAAGGUAGUGCUACACUAAAUCAUAGAUAUGUCCGUUUGGUACGACCACUUCUGGCUUACAUACAUGGUAAAUUAUAGCUUGUACAAGGCCACUUGAUCCGUGGUCAGCCUAAAUAUGCAAAUCCAACGACAUAUACUUUUUAGAUGGUUUUCAUAGUUUGCAGAACGUGGCUCACACACAAUAUAAUGUGGGACCAUUAGUGUUACAGUAUUUAGGUAACGUUAAUGCGUGGUUGAGAUGCAGUUGCUGGUAAAUAGAUGAAAGUGUCAACUUAUAAAUUAGUAAUGUCUGUGAGAACUCACUAGAUGUAUCUUUCUGAAUGUCAUGCUUUAUAUCAUUUGUGUGUAUUAAAUUAUCUUUUGUGGUGUAAUUUAUUACAAUACUUAAUGGCUAAACUUCGUACUUUUAUCGGAAUAUCUACCUACCUACUGCUGUAUUUUAUCAUAUUUUGUAAAAUAUGAAUGUGUACUUUUCCUUAUGUCCAAUCCUUUCGUACGGCUCUUAAAUCUCUUUAAAUAAUAUUAUGUUACGCAAACACCCGUUCGUUAUUGUUGCCCCAUAUGAUAAAUUAUUUUCUCUGUAUUUCAUGUGUAGCUAAACAUUAGCAUGUAAAGGAUUUACAUUUUAAUGUGAUGUCAUAUAGGCAUUAUUUACAACAUAAUUAUGAAGAGGCUUGUACUAAGUUUAUGUUGGGAGAGCUUCUAGUUUUUGUACAUAUACAUACACAAUUGUAAAUACUGUACGGGAAUAUAUCAUACGAAAUAUACAACGUAAAUAUGUAUGUCUUUCGAAUACAAUCAUUAUUUGGGCUUAUAACUACGGUACUGUCCUAAAAAAUACUUUUGUGUUCAGUUUUAUAUUAGUUUUUGCUUCAUAAGACAUAUAUAUGUAUAUGCAAUGCAAACAAUUUCACUAAUCAAUGAAUUGUUGAGUUCGUCACACAGUCACAACCUGUAACUUUUUGCUUAUUGUUUUGAAUACUGUUACUAUUUAAUUGUAUAACUGAUACAAUAAGAACAUUAGAGCUAUGAUAGCUGUAAAAUUGAAAGACUAGCCCCGGCCAUUAUAAAAGACUUUAGCGUCGAUUAAAGUUUCAAGUAAAAGCUUUAAACUUCUUACAGAAGAAAAUGUUUCGUCAUCAUUGUGUUUAUUAAUAGUUUUAAUUAGUACCUAUUUAUUUAUUUACUCAUAGAGGUAUAACUUAUUACUAAGACAUAUUUGAAUGAAGCUUUUACCAUUUUGUGUUAGGUAUCCACUUUGUAAAUAUGUAAAUUCCAAGUAGUUACUUGUCAAAUACCAUGAAACCAAACAUUUUUAUGAGUAGAGCAUGUAAAUUUUGUUAUUAAAGUAUAUUUGUUUUAUUAUAUCUAUAUACAUCGCGUAUUAUUGUAUUGUGUUUUAUGGAGAUACAUAUACGUUUUUUCAUAUUGAACCCCGUAAAUAAACUGUUUUCAUUAACAAA